AACGAACGCUGGCGGCGUGCCUAACACAUGCAAGUCGAGGGAGAAGCCGCAAGGCGAGUAAACCGGCGAACGGGUGCGUAACACGUGGAUAAUCUACCUCCAUGUCCGGGACAACUGGCCGAAAGGCUUGCUAAUACCGGAUAAGCCCACGCCGUCUUUGGACGGAGAGGGAAAAGGUGGCCUCUGCAUGCAAGCUAUCGCAGGGAGAUGAGUCCGCGGCCCAUCAGCUAGUUGGCGGGGUAAAAGCCCACCAAGGCGACGACGGGUAGCUGGUCUGAGAGGAUGAUCAGCCACACUGGAACUGAGACACGGUCCAGACUCCUACGGGAGGCAGCAGUGGGGAAUCUUGCGCAAUGGGCGAAAGCCUGACGCAGCAACGCCGCGUGUGUGAUGAAGGUCUUCGGAUCGUAAAGCACUGUCGCGAGGGAAGAUACGCCAUCGGAUAACACCCGGGGGCUAAGACGGUACCUCGAGAGGAAGCACCGGCUAACUCUGUGCCA
This 500-nucleotide ribosomal RNA is filed under the name uncultured bacterium. RNAcentral's name for it is "bacterial SSU rRNA". It matches the Rfam family "Bacterial small subunit ribosomal RNA", at positions 29 to 510 of the family's 1533-position model. The record is from RNAcentral.